AGAAAAGUUUAUAUUUAGCCCUGAGAGGUUUGCAUACCAAUCUAAUUCAUUUAAAGUUUGAUUUAAGGACUGUUCACUUCCAUCUAAAAUAAGUGAAGUAUCAUCUGCAAACUGUGAUAACUUAUGUUCUAUCCUAGUCACAGUUAUGCCAGUAAUAUUUUUAUUCCCCCGUAUUCUAAUUGCCAAAAUUUCUGCACAAAGUAUAAAAAGGUAGGGUGAUAAGGGAUCCCCUUGUCUACAGCCACGUCCUAUUUGAAAAAAGUCUGAAAGAUUUCCUCCCUGAAUGACUGCAGAUGAGAUAUUAUUAUAAAAUACUUUAACCCAGUUGAUAAUAGAUUCACCAAAAUUAAAAAAUUGCAAUACUGACAACAAAAAGUCCCAAGAUAGAGAAUCAAA
Molecule: long non-coding RNA, 396 nt
Filed under: Mytilus galloprovincialis (Mediterranean mussel)
Lineage: Eukaryota; Metazoa; Mollusca; Bivalvia; Mytilida; Mytilidae
Source: RNAcentral